GUCAGGCAUGGUGGUGCAUGCCUGUAAUCCCAGCAGCUCAGGAGGCUGAAGAAGGAGGAUUGCAAGUUCAAGGGGAGCCUCAGCAAUUUAGCAAGGCCUUGGGCAAUUUAGUGCAACUCUGUCUCAA
This 127-nucleotide small RNA is filed under the name Marmota monax (woodchuck). Lineage: Eukaryota; Metazoa; Chordata; Mammalia; Rodentia; Sciuridae. The record is from RNAcentral.